GGGACGGUAGCUCAGCCGGUCAGAGCAGGGGACUCAUAAUCCCUGGGUCGUGGGUUCGAGUCCCACCCGUCCUA
Molecule: transfer RNA, 74 nt
Filed under: Allonocardiopsis opalescens
Lineage: Bacteria; Bacillati; Actinomycetota; Actinomycetes; Streptosporangiales
Rfam family: tRNA
About the family: Transfer RNA (tRNA) molecules are approximately 80 nucleotides in length.
Source: Rfam by way of RNAcentral